GGAUCCGUGGCUAAUGUGUUGCAGCAGGCUACCGUCCAGACGGUGACCAACUCGCAAUGCAGAAGAAGCUACCCGCAACUCAUCAGCAGCAUGCUCUGCGCCGCUGCACCCGGAAAAGACACCUGUCAGGGAGACAGCGGUGGUCCAAUUUUUAUCCGAUCCUCAUCAGGAUCCCCUUGGACUCAAGUUGGAAUCGUCAGCUACGGUGCCGGGUGUGCUGACCCCAAUUUCCCUGGCGUCUACACUAGGGUGACGUCAUUCAGGACUUGGAUCACGGCAUACACCAAUGUCUGAGAAAAUCGCAUCAAACUUUUCUUAACUUGGACUCAACAAGGAAACGCAACAACAACAAAAAAAAAGCGAGAGAUAGUGGGGGGGGUGGGAUUACGUAAGGUACCUAAACAUUCUUUUACUUGACUAAACUAACUCUGAUGUUUUCAAAACCGAAAAACCGAUUUGUGAACCCAUUUUUUCAACUAAACUAGAAAUAAUCCGAAUAAUACCGCAAAUACACGUAAACCAGCAA
Long non-coding RNA from Daphnia pulicaria, 526 nucleotides. RefSeq lists it as uncharacterized. The record is from RefSeq and is a predicted model, not a curated record. The transcript has 3 exons. NCBI's taxonomy places the organism in Eukaryota, Metazoa, Arthropoda, Branchiopoda, Diplostraca, Daphniidae.